AGAGUUUGAUCCUGGCUCAGGACGAACGCUGGCGGCGUGCUUAACACAUGCAAGUCGAACGGAAAGGCCCUUCGGGGUACUCGAGUGGCGAACGGGUGAGUAACACGUGGGUGAUCUGCCCUGCACUUUGGGAUAAGCCUGGGAAACUGGGUCUAAUACCGAAUAGGACCACGCGCUUCAUGGUGUGUGGUGGAAAGCUUUUGCGGUGUGGGAUGGGCCCGCGGCCUAUCAGCUUGUUGGUGGGGUAAUGGCCUACCAAGGCGACGACGGGUAGCCGGCCUGAGAGGGUGACCGGCCACACUGGGACUGAGAUACGGCCCAGACUCCUACGGGAGGCAGCAGUGGGGAAUAUUGCACAAUGGGCGCAAGCCUGAUGCAGCGACGCCGCGUGAGGGAUGACGGCCUUCGGGUUGUAAACCUCUUUCAAUAGGGACGAAGCGUGAGUGACGGUACCUAUAGAAGAAGCACCGGCCAACUACGUGCCAGCAGCCGCGGUAAUACGUAGGGUGCGAGCGUUGUCCGGAAUUACUGGGCGUAAAGAGCUCGUAGGUGGUUUGUCGCGUUGUUCGUGAAAACUCACAGCUUAACUGUGGGCGUGCGGGCGAUGCGGGCAGACUAGAGUACUGCAGGGGAGACUGGAAUUCCUGGUGUAGCGGUGGAAUGCGCAGAUAUCAGGAGGAACACCGGUGGCGAAGGCGGGUCUCUGGGCAGUAACUGACGCUGAGGAGCGAAAGCGUGGGGAGCGAACAGGAUUAGAUACCCUGGUAGUCCACGCCGUAAACGGUGGGUACUAGGUGUGGGUUCCUUCCUUGGGAUCCGUGCCGUAGCUAACGCAUUAAGUACCCCGCCUGGGGAGUACGGCCGCAAGGCUAAAACUCAAAGGAAUUGACGGGGGCCCGCACAAGCGGCGGAGCAUGUGGAUUAAUUCGAUGCAACGCGAAGAACCUUACCUGGGUUUGACAUGCACAGGACGCCGGCAGAGAUGUCGGUUCCCUUGUGGCCUGUGUGCAGGUGGUGCAUGGCUGUCGUCAGCUCGUGUCGUGAGAUGUUGGGUUAAGUCCCGCAACGAGCGCAACCCUUGUCCUAUGUUGCCAGCGGGUUAUGCCGGGGACUCGUAGGAGACUGCCGGGGUCAACUCGGAGGAAGGUGGGGAUGACGUCAAGUCAUCAUGCCCCUUAUGUCCAGGGCUUCACACAUGCUACAAUGGCCGGUACAAAGGGCUGCGAUGCCGUGAGGUGGAGCGAAUCCUUUCAAAGCCGGUCUCAGUUCGGAUCGGGGUCUGCAACUCGACCCCGUGAAGUCGGAGUCGCUAGUAAUCGCAGAUCAGCAACGCUGCGGUGAAUACGUUCCCGGGCCUUGUACUCACCGCCCGUCA
This 1375-nucleotide ribosomal RNA is filed under the name uncultured bacterium. RNAcentral describes it as "16S ribosomal RNA". It matches the Rfam family "Bacterial small subunit ribosomal RNA". The record is from RNAcentral.